AAAAUCACUGGAAAAGGGAUUAGUGUGUGUAAAAAAGUGAUGAAUGAUAGUAUUUCUGAAAUGAGAAAAGAGGAAGAUGAGGCAAUAAACAGAAUUACCAAUUCACAAUCUAGACGAGUUCCUUUGACUUUUAGUAUAACUUCUGUUCCUUCACUGAAUAUAAUUGAACUAAUAUUUCUGUAGCUUUAAAGAAAAGAAAAGUUAAUGAUUCUCCUCUUGGUAG
This 223-nucleotide unclassified non-coding RNA is filed under the name Hevea brasiliensis (rubber tree). Lineage: Eukaryota; Viridiplantae; Streptophyta; Magnoliopsida; Malpighiales; Euphorbiaceae. The record is from RNAcentral.